This 439-nucleotide ribosomal RNA is filed under the name uncultured bacterium. Its description in RNAcentral is "partial 16S ribosomal RNA". It matches the Rfam family "Bacterial small subunit ribosomal RNA", at positions 338 to 795 of the family's 1533-position model. The record is from RNAcentral.
CCUACGGGUGGCAGCAGUGGGGGAUAUUGCACAAUGGGGGGAACCCUGAUGCAGCGACGCCGCGUGGGUGAAGGAGCGUUUCGGCGCGUAAAGCCCUAUCGGCAGGGAAGAAGAUGACGGUACCUUACCAAGAAGCCCCGGCUAACUACGUGCCAGCAGCCGCGGUAAUACGUGGGGGGCCAGCGUUUUCCGGAUUUACUGGGUGAAAAGGGGGCGCUGACGGCAAUGAAAGCCAGGAGUGAAAGCCCGGGGCCCAACCCCGGGACUGCUCUUGGAACUGCAUGGCUGGAGUACAGGAGGGGCAGCGGAAUUCCUAGUGUAGCGGUGAAAUGCGUAGAUAUUAGGAGGAACACCGGUGGCGAAGGCGGCUUGCUGGACGGUAACUGACGUUGAGGCUCGAAAGCGUGGGGAGCAAACAGGAUUAGAUACCCCGGUAGUC